Molecule: non-coding RNA, 218 nt
Organism: Schizosaccharomyces pombe (fission yeast)
Lineage: Eukaryota; Fungi; Ascomycota; Schizosaccharomycetes; Schizosaccharomycetales; Schizosaccharomycetaceae
Source: the annotation of a GenBank genome assembly
UCAGUUACAAAAAAGAAAUUGCGGAAAUAAGUGUCAUUUUGGCCUAAUGGAAGGAGAUGCUCCAAAAUUCGGUGAAACAACUAUUCAGCCGAUGCUUAAGCAAAAGUCAAAAAUCGCUUACUAAUUCCUGUAGAAUUAAUACUUACAAUGUUGAACUGGUGCAACAUCAGCGAUCAGAAGACCAACUUCAAAAGCAAAACACAUAAAAAAGGUUCACG